UUUGCUUGGAGGAUAGAGCAUUACUGUGCAGGCAAUGUGACAUAUCAACUUAUUCAACGAGUCCCCUAUGCAAUGUCACACCAAAGAUUUUUAAUUUCAGGUAUCAAAGUAACUCUUGAAUCCUCAUCUGAGCAUAGCAGAGAUCAAAAUUCCAGAAUGGAAAUGUCUAUGGAGUCUUCAUUCUAUUCUUCUCCAGGCCAGGAGAGCUUGGCAGCAAUCACAAUGAACUCG
RNAcentral lists this unclassified non-coding RNA (231 nucleotides) under Hevea brasiliensis (rubber tree). The record is from RNAcentral. Lineage: Eukaryota; Viridiplantae; Streptophyta; Magnoliopsida; Malpighiales; Euphorbiaceae.